CCUACGGGAGGCUGCAGUGGGGAAUAUUGGACAAUGGGCGAAAGCCUGAUCCAGCCAUGCCGCGUGUGUGAAGAAGGCCUUCGGGUUGUAAAGCACUUUCAGUGGGGAAGAAAGCCUUGGGGCUAAUACCCUCGAGGAAGGACAUCACCCACAGAAGAAGCACCGGCUAACUCCGUGUCAGCAGCCGCGGUAAUACGGAGGGUGCGAGCGUUAAUCGGAAUUACUGGGCGUAAAGCGCGCGUAGGCGGUCUGAUAAGCCGGUUGUGAAAGCCCCGGGCUCAACCUGGGAACGGCAUCCGGAACUGUCAGGCUAGAGUGCAGGAGAGGAAGGUAGAAUUCCCGGUGUAGCGGUGAAAUGCGUAGAGAUCGGGAGGAAUACCAGUGGCGAAGGCGGCCUUCUGGACUGACACUGACGCUGAGGUGCGAAAGCGUGGGUAGCAAACAGGAUUAGAUACCCCUGUAGUC
Molecule: ribosomal RNA, 465 nt
Filed under: Vreelandella stevensii
Lineage: Bacteria; Pseudomonadati; Pseudomonadota; Gammaproteobacteria; Oceanospirillales; Halomonadaceae
Description: partial 16S ribosomal RNA
Rfam family: Bacterial small subunit ribosomal RNA
Source: RNAcentral